RNAcentral lists this ribosomal RNA (1372 nucleotides) under uncultured bacterium. RNAcentral's name for it is "bacterial SSU rRNA". It matches the Rfam family "Bacterial small subunit ribosomal RNA", at positions 28 to 1381 of the family's 1533-position model. The record is from RNAcentral.
GAUGAACGCUGGCGGCGUGCCUAAUACAUGCAAGUCGAGCGAACGGACGAGAAGCUUGCUUCUCUGAUGUUAGCGGCGGACGGGUGAGUAACACGUGGAUAACCUACCUAUAAGACUGGGAUAACUUCGGGAAACCGGAGCUAAUACCGGAUAAUAUUUUGAACCGCAUGGUUCAAAAGUGAAAGACGGUCUUGCUGUCACUUAUAGAUGGAUCCGCGCUGCAUUAGCUAGUUGGUAAGGUAACGGCUUACCAAGGCAACGAUGCAUAGCCGACCUGAGAGGGUGAUCGGCCACACUGGAACUGAGACACGGUCCAGACUCCUACGGGAGGCAGCAGUAGGGAAUCUUCCGCAAUGGGCGAAAGCCUGACGGAGCAACGCCGCGUGAGUGAUGAAGGUCUUCGGAUCGUAAAACUCUGUUAUUAGGGAAGAACAUAUGUGUAAGUAACUGUGCACAUCUUGACGGUACCUAAUCAGAAAGCCACGGCUAACUACGUGCCAGCAGCCGCGGUAAUACGUAGGUGGCAAGCGUUAUCCGGAAUUAUUGGGCGUAAAGCGCGCGUAGGCGGUUUUUUAAGUCUGAUGUGAAAGCCCACGGCUCAACCGUGGAGGGUCAUUGGAAACUGGAAAACUUGAGUGCAGAAGAGGAAAGUGGAAUUCCAUGUGUAGCGGUGAAAUGCGCAGAGAUAUGGAGGAACACCAGUGGCGAAGGCGACUUUCUGGUCUGUAACUGACGCUGAUGUGCGAAAGCGUGGGGAUCAAACAGGAUUAGAUACCCUGGUAGUCCACGCCGUAAACGAUGAGUGCUAAGUGUUAGGGGGUUUCCGCCCCUUAGUGCUGCAGCUAACGCAUUAAGCACUCCGCCUGGGGAGUACGACCGCAAGGUUGAAACUCAAAGGAAUUGACGGGGACCCGCACAAGCGGUGGAGCAUGUGGUUUAAUUCGAAGCAACGCGAAGAACCUUACCAAAUCUUGACAUCCUUUGACAACUCUAGAGAUAGAGCUUUCCCCUUCGGGGGACAAAGUGACAGGUGGUGCAUGGUUGUCGUCAGCUCGUGUCGUGAGAUGUUGGGUUAAGUCCCGCAACGAGCGCAACCCUUAAGCUUAGUUGCCAUCAUUAAGUUGGGCACUCUAAGUUGACUGCCGGUGACAAACCGGAGGAAGGUGGGGAUGACGUCAAAUCAUCAUGCCCCUUAUGAUUUGGGCUACACACGUGCUACAAUGGACAAUACAAAGGGCAGCGAAACCGCGAGGUCAAGCAAAUCCCAUAAAGUUGUUCUCAGUUCGGAUUGUAGUCUGCAACUCGACUACAUGAAGCUGGAAUCGCUAGUAACCGUAGAUCAGCAUGCUACGGUGAAUACGUUCCCGGGUCU